AUGGUCUUAGCUUGCUAAGGCCGAUGGCGACCGGCGCACGGGUGAGUAACACGUAUCCAACCUGCCGUCUACUCUUUGGACAGCCUUCUGAAAGGAAGAUUAAUACAAGAUGGCAUCAUGAGUUCACAUGUUCACAUGAUUAAAGGUAUUCCGGUGUACGAUGGGGAUGCGUUCCAUUAGGUAGUAGGCGGGGUAACGGCCCACCUAGCCAACGAUGGAUAGGGGUUCUGAGAGGAAGGUCCCCACAUUGGAACUGAGACACGGUCCAAACUCC
RNAcentral lists this ribosomal RNA (274 nucleotides) under uncultured Bacteroides sp. RNAcentral describes it as "partial 16S ribosomal RNA". It matches the Rfam family "Bacterial small subunit ribosomal RNA", at positions 69 to 339 of the family's 1533-position model. Lineage: Bacteria; Pseudomonadati; Bacteroidota; Bacteroidia; Bacteroidales; Bacteroidaceae. The record is from RNAcentral.